This is a long non-coding RNA of Hyla sarda, 1584 nucleotides long. RefSeq lists it as uncharacterized. NCBI's taxonomy places the organism in Eukaryota, Metazoa, Chordata, Amphibia, Anura, Hylidae. The record is from RefSeq and is a predicted model, not a curated record. The transcript is spliced from 3 exons.
AGCAGGCUUCUUCUACUCAGUGCACCUGAACCUCGUGGGUUGGGUGCUCCGGUAACCUCCAGAUCGUGUGAUCUGCAUCCUCAGAAGUAUGUCCUCUCUAUUCUUCUGCUCUGGCUUCUUUCUCUCAUACACACCUGUGUCCUCCAGGAGGGGGAGAUGAGGGGCGUGGCUUAUCUCUCUCAUGCAGUUCUGAAAGAACAGAGAAAAAAAAAAAGCCCUGACGUGUUGUCCACAGCCUAAUCCUAACAUGGCCGAAGUUGUGGACAACAGUAAGAGAUCCAACACAGAACUACAGAACUUCCUGGCCCACAAACAGAUCCUAUCAAGCUCUGUCAACUUGGAUGAAAAUCAUCUGUGAAAAACAUUUUCCGGUCUUUUCAGAGAUAUCUGACUGGGUUUAAGCCAGGGCUCUGGAUGGGCCACCUAAGGACACUCAUAAAGUUCUACCUAAAUCACUCCUGCAUUGUCUUGGCUGUGUGCAUAAGGUCAUUGUUGGAAGGAAACCCUUCAGCCAAAACCACUUAAGCCCUUCACCCCACCAUUGGAAACUGCAGCCAUGGUAGGAAACAAGUGGAUUUGGCUCACCACCUUGAAUCGUAGCCAUGUAUAAAGACUUUUUUUUUUUUAUAGAAGAUGGGAUCCAAGGGGCUACAACCUACUCCAGAAAGGAAGACAAGACGAGUGACAUCACAUUGGGCUAGAGUAAAAUGGAUCAGCUCCAGCCUUGUUUUAUUUUUAUUUUUUUUCCAGCCACAGGCCUACCUGUUGAUUUGUAAAAAAAUAAAUAAAAAUUGAGCCAUCUUUGUGGAUAAAUCUGAUGUUUCUUGUAAAAUAAGUGUAAUACAGAUUUCUCAAUCCAUCUGAGGACAAAAACUCUGAUAUGUCAUGAAUGUUUACUGUCAUACAGCCCCUUAAAAAUAUAUGGGGCUUAUCUGGUGUUUGAAAAUCUAUUUUAGAUUUACCAUGAUAUUGAUCACUGGCAUGUUAGGAUAAUGUAUCCCAACUUCAGGCCUGCAAUACAAUACCACAAUGGUUUACACAAAUCUAAGUUUCCUACUUAUACCUCAAUCAACGGCCUUAUCUUCAUGCCUGAUGUAUUAAGAUACCCUGACACAAUAUUGUAUUGCUGUUUUGGGUUAACACACACUGUAUUCCGAGGUAAACAUUUGGGCAAAACUUUCAAAGUAAUCCUAAAAUUGUCAGAUGCUUUUCAGAAAUCAAAAAGCCUUUUACAGCAAAGCAGUAAGGGGUUAAUUCUGCAGAAAUUUGCCUUGCUUACUCUCCCAGUGUGUGCUUCCCAUCGUCAGGCUAAUUGUUGAAUGGACAAUAAAAUUAGCUAAUUAAUUCAUUUUAACUGCCUGUAUAUUUUUAUUGCACGGAUCAGUGUGUAAUUAUGAUAAUAUGCAGUUAGUGCUCUGUGUGUUUUUCCACAGCAGAAAGAAAAUGGUCUUCCUUGUAGCAGAGGAUACACGGCUGAAUAGAUUGAGAAUGGCUUCCUUCCCCUGUCUCCUGAUUUCUUCAGCAAGAUUGAUGUCCUAGUUUUUUUCAUUCUAUUUUUGUAUGGGAUUCGGCUAACAUAUUGAA